RNAcentral lists this ribosomal RNA (253 nucleotides) under uncultured prokaryote. RNAcentral describes it as "partial 16S ribosomal RNA". It matches the Rfam family "Bacterial small subunit ribosomal RNA", at positions 524 to 776 of the family's 1533-position model. The record is from RNAcentral.
UACGGAGGGGGCGAGCGUUAUUCGGAAUUAUUGGGCGUAAAGGGCGCGUAGGCGGCCCGGUAAGUCAAAGGUGAAAUCCCUCGGCUCAACUGAGGAACUGCCUUUGAAACUGUCGGGCUUGAGGCCGGGAGAGGGUAGUGGAAUUCCCAGUGUAGCGGUGAAAUGCGUAGAUAUCAGGAGGAACACCAAUGGCGAAGGCAGCUCGCUGGAACGGUACUGACGCUGAGGCGCGAAAGCGUGGGGAGCGAACAGG